Molecule: long non-coding RNA, 1526 nt
Organism: Pomacea canaliculata
Lineage: Eukaryota; Metazoa; Mollusca; Gastropoda; Architaenioglossa; Ampullariidae
Exons: 4
Source: RefSeq, a predicted model, not a curated record
GAUGCCACAUGCAAAGAAAGAACAGCGUGCCCGACACGAGAGUUGAACCCAGGACAGCUAACCCUGACAGCUAACUUAUGUAUCAAUUCAUGGCUAAUUAAGAACGUGCUUUUGAUUGUCUGAACCUGGUUAAGACGAUGAAGGCUCAGUCAGUUAGAGCAAGUAUCGCGGAUAUUCUGGCAUAUCUAAAAUACUUCUUAAAGAUGCCAUAUCAGAUAUAACUCCAUCAGUAUACAUGCGUAUGUAUGGUUUGAGUACGACCCUGUCUUAAUGCACACAAAGAAGCAAAAUAUUUGUGUUAUACUAAACAGUUUUUUUUUAAUUUCUUUUCUACGUUAGAACGAGUUCAAAACAUGCGAAGAUCACAUCUGUGACUAUCUUAGAUAUAAAUACAGAACCGUCGACAUGAUAAGAAAAAGCUACCAAAAGCAAACCUAGAGUCCACUUAUCAUAAUUCAUUCACAGCAUAAAGACUAGAGUUGUGUUCUGUGGAACCACAGGAUGGUGUGUUACUCAUUCAGAUUUUUGGCUAUGAUCAUAUUUAUAAGUGGAUCGAAUGCUGUACUUUGGUCUUCGUCCCCGGACAACAUCACGGCAUGCGACGGACAUGACGUAUCAAUCCCAUGGUCCUUCACGCUGAGUUCCACCGAGACUGUCAUUAGCACCACGUGGUUUGUAGAGAGAAAUGACCGAAGAAAUCUAUUCGCCAGCCUCACCGAGGGCGAGUUUUUCCCACACUCACGGCAGCACGUGCAGUUCGUAUCCAACGCCGGUAUCAGGCUUCAAUAUGUGACUGUCAACGACACAGGGCUGUACUCCGUACACGUCAGCAGUGUUGACAGCGCUGGUCACGUGACCAUAAGCAAUCGUUCUUCUCGCUGUGCAAGUAGCAGGUAAAGACCUAAGCAAUUAGUGGAGUAGAUGGAGAUAAUUUGUGCAGAUGACAGACAUUCAAGACAGAAUACACGGUCUUUUCUGGCAAAUUGGUAUAUACUUGUAUGUUUAGUACUGAUCUUUUGUAGAUAUUUUGCUUGACAACUUAGAACUACCGCUCGGGUAUUUGAUCAUCAUGGCUAAAGAUUUAAAAUAUUUGAUGUGCCUGAAGUUUCUAACAGCUAUUAAUGUUCUGGAAAAAAUCUUUUUUUAAUUAUUAAACAAAAUAUUAGCACACGUGAAACCUUCAGGCUACUGUAGUUUGAGGAGAAAUGUCUUUUAUUUAUUGUAAUCUGCCAUUGUUGCAUUUACACAACACACAGCUCCCCAAGUUCUGUCUGGGAGUCAGUUAGUAGCUCGCCAUCGCCCCGCGCCAGAGAAAGAUGACGUCACGGGGGUUUGGCACGUGAUCUUGGAAUGUGGACAGUUCUCAGACCGGGGUCAGCCGCCGGUCAGCGUCCAAUGGAGGACGCCAUCAGGAGCUGUGUAUACAAACGUCAACUACCGGGAAGGUUACUUUUACCUCCCUCUGCAAGCUUGUGGAGUAGGGAACUACACUUGCUCUCUCUCAUACCAGAGUGUAGCAAAGGAAU